GUUUUUAUAGUUUAAAAAAAACAUUAAUUUUGUAUAUUAAAAAUAUUAUAAAAAUUAAAAACU
RNAcentral lists this transfer RNA (63 nucleotides) under Sininocellia gigantos. RNAcentral's name for it is "tRNA-Thr". The record is from RNAcentral. Lineage: Eukaryota; Metazoa; Arthropoda; Insecta; Raphidioptera; Inocelliidae.